RNAcentral lists this long non-coding RNA (555 nucleotides) under Monodelphis domestica (gray short-tailed opossum). Its description in RNAcentral is "lncRNA (ENSMODG00000043483.1)". Lineage: Eukaryota; Metazoa; Chordata; Mammalia; Didelphimorphia; Didelphidae. The record is from RNAcentral.
GAGUUUAGCCAAGAAUGGGAGGAGAAACAUUGGACAAUACCAAGCGGAAAUGAUAAGUCAUUUGGAACCAUGCAUCCUCACCUUCAACUGGACAAUUUUUGGAUCUUCUCUCUCCAACCACAGUUGUCAUCAAAUCAGCACAUCUAUAGCAUCUGGAAAGGGUGUGUCUUUUUUUUUUUUUUUGCUGAUCUCGGCAAUACAAGGAUCUAAGACAAUUCAAAAGGACCCAUAACUGAAAAAUGUUAUCCACCUCCAGGGAAAGAAUUGAUGGGGCAUGAAUAUGGAUAGAAGCAUACUAUUUUUCAAUUUAUUUUCUUCUUAGCUUUUUGUAUCUUUGUUGUUAUAUGAGUAUUUUUGCACAUAUGACAUGGAAAUGUAUUUUAUAAUGGUCACACAUGUGUAACCUAGAUUGUUUACCAUCCCAGUGAAAGGGGGGGAAAGGAAGGGAAGGAGAGACUUUGGAUCUAAAAAUUUUAGAAAACAAAUAUUAAAAAUUGUUAUUACAUAUAAUUAGGAAAAAAUAAAAUAUUAUGCAAAAAAAGAAAAGGUAUGCCA